CAGUCUGUCGCGAACGCAUUGUGGAUUGUCAAGUAUUACUCAAGAAAUUCAGUUCAUGAAGAUAAGAAGUUUCUUGACAAAUACAUGCCCCAGUUCAUGAAACAUCUUCAUUAUAGAAUAAUUGAUGUGAGCACUGUUAAAGAACUGUGCAGACGCUGGUAUCCAGAAGAAUAUGAAUUUGCACCAAAGAAGGCUGCUUCUCAUAGGGCACUUGAUGACAUUAGUGAAAGCAUCAAAGAGCUUCAGUUUUACCGAAAUAAUAUCUUCAAGAAAAAAAUAGAUGAAAAGAAGAGGAAAAUUAUAGAAAAUGGGGAAAAUGAGAAGACCGUGAGUUGAUGCCAGUUAUCAUGCUGCCACUACAUAGUUAUCUGGAGGCAACUUCUGGUGGUUUUUUUUUUUCCUCACGCUGAUGGCUUGGCAGAGCACCUUCGGUUAACUUGCAUCUCCAGAUUGAUUACUCAAGCAGACAGCACACGAAAUACUAUUUUUCUCCUAAUAUGCUGUUUCCAUUAUGACACAGCAGCUCCUUUGUAAGUACCAGGUCAUGUCCAUCCCUUGGUACAUAUAUGCAUUUGCUUUUAAACCAUUUCUUUUGUUUAAAUAAAUAAAUAAGUAAAUAAAGCUAGUUC
This 629-nucleotide small RNA is filed under the name Pongo abelii (Sumatran orangutan). Its description in RNAcentral is "processed transcript". Lineage: Eukaryota; Metazoa; Chordata; Mammalia; Primates; Hominidae. The record is from RNAcentral.